CCGUAGCCCAAGAGAUCGGGAUAACACCUGGAAACAGAUGCUAAUACCUGAUAACAACAGAUGAUGCCUAUCAACUGUUUAAAAGAUGGUUCUGCUAUCACUCUUGGAUGGACCUGCGGUGCAUUAGCUAGUUGGUAGGGUAACGGCCUACCAAGGCGAUGAUGCAUAGCCGAGUUGAGAGACUGAUCGGCCACAUUGGGACUGAGACACGGCCCAAACCUCCGUACGGGGAGGCAGCAGAU
Molecule: ribosomal RNA, 242 nt
Filed under: uncultured Lactobacillus sp.
Lineage: Bacteria; Bacillati; Bacillota; Bacilli; Lactobacillales; Lactobacillaceae
Description: partial 16S ribosomal RNA
Rfam family: Bacterial small subunit ribosomal RNA
Source: RNAcentral